RNAcentral lists this long non-coding RNA (2452 nucleotides) under Dasypus novemcinctus (nine-banded armadillo). RNAcentral describes it as "lncRNA (ENSDNOG00000052761.1)". Lineage: Eukaryota; Metazoa; Chordata; Mammalia; Cingulata; Dasypodidae. The record is from RNAcentral.
UAUACCUACGUGGCUCACCAUUAGAUGAUUCAACAUUAUUAAAAACCCACUUUUCCCUUCUUUUAAAAUUUCUUCUUAUUCAACUUUUAGGUUCUUUAGGUUUCAGCUGAACUCUGAUGUCAAGUUCCACUCUUCAAGAGCAAUUAUCUUUCUGCAUCAACUUUGGAACAUCAUUUCUCAUGGCAGCUUUUCAGACCUCUCCAUGGAAUUUGAUUUCUGUGAUAUUAGGAGCAAUGUGCCUUUUGUUGAUGGCCACUUUGGGAAUUUUGUGGAACUAUUGUAAGGAAUUUUUAUAAAUUUUAAAGUUUUAUGAAGAUUAAUACUGUGGUUAAAUUAUUUCAUAAUGGAGCUUAUAUUUUAUUAACAUGUAAUAUUUUACUAUUUCAUGGAUACACUUAAGCCUGGACCUAACUACCUAAAUUUCUAAUCAUCCCAUAUAGCACAGACUAAACAAAGUCUUCUGUCCACAUUGUCUUCAGGACCCACCAGUGAAGCCCAGGAAGGUAGGUGUUUACUCCUAGCUCACACUUUCCUCUCAAUCUUCCUUCGCUGCUGCUGUACUUAUGCCUUAGUAUACAGUGUCCUAGUUCUGCAAUGCUAAAUCCUAUUCAUCCAGGGAGUCUCAACUCAAAGUCCAAUUUUGAAUUUUCUAGUUUUCCCCAAGUGAAUGCCAAGUCGUCUCACACACUGAUGUGAUCAUAUAGCACUUCACUGAUAUUUUUUCCCUUCAGCUUCAGAGCUAUUCAUUUUUCAAGUAUUUAAAUUACCACCAUGCUUCAUGAGUUCUGUUACUGAAGAUAAGAAAUGUUAUGGAUGCUAUCACUGCUAAACCAUAUGAUCAGACUUCAGAUUAAUUGUUUUGUCUUCACUUUUGAAAAAACUUACUCAAAACAUAAAACAUAAUUGUGUCAAUGCAGUGUUCUUUGCUCUCUCACAAAAUAUGCUGAAAUGCUCUCUUCCUUUUAAUCUAUCUGGUUAAUUCCUUUUUCUAAGGUAGAGCUUAGCCUUAGGCCACCCAGUUAAAUAUAGUUCUUCUCUUCUCUUGCCACCCCAUGCUUUGCUACAUGCUGUUUUAGCAUACUAAUUUUUUUGUAAACUUAUCAAAUUAUUAUUCAGUAUAAUUAAUAUAUGUUUGAAAUUUCAAUAAUUCUAUCUGUAGAAUAAAAUUUCCAUGAAGAAAGAAGAUCGUGUGUGACGAAUUCACGUUUAUAACCCCUGAAAAUAGCAACUUACAGUGAAUAUAGUAGAUUCUCAAAGAUUAUUUGGAAGAAAAAAUUGAUAAAUAACAAAUUUUUGAGUAGUAAUGAACAGUGGAAAUUCUGAAAUCUCCAAUUUCAUCAAUCAGGUUGUAUUUUUUCUCAGGUUCUGACUGCCGUUCUUGCCAAGAAAAGUGGAUUGGGUACAGAUGCAACUGAUUAAUAUACAAGGCAGAUUGUUACAAAAUUAUUUUGAAAAAUAUGUUUUCCAUGUGAGUGUUUCGGAGUUUAUAAGGAAAGAGGAUAUCUAAGCCUUGAUCACCGGAAAGUAUAAUUUUUUUUCUUGCCCAAAUUCCUUGCUUUAUGCUUAUUCAUCAGUAAAAGAAUCACUUACUUAUAUAUUGACUGUUUUAUUCUCUGCUCAAUCCCAAAGAUUCCUUUACUAAAAGUCAUGUGAGAAAUACUGCAAAAUUCCCAUUGAGGGUAAGGGGAGAGCAGGUCUAUUUUUGAGGAUUUUCUUCGGAAAUAGAAGAGGCCCGGGUAUAACAAAGAGGUCUGAUGCUCAUGGUGUGACUGAGAUCUUCCAGUCCUCACAGCCACCAAAAGCCAAUUUCCAUUUACAGCUGUUGCAGGUUCAUCUUCAAAAAUUUGGAUUCACAGCCCUAUUUGUUUUCCGGUUUUAUAUUUCAGUCUAAUGAAUAUAAUUAAGUACCAAAGUUAAUUUCCAUAGAGAAAGAGCCAGAAGAAAAAAGAAUCUCUUAUGUCUUAUUUCUCAAAAUUUAAAUAUAAUAGGAUUACAAAACAGAACUCUUUGCACUCAUGUAUGAAAAUUGAUUUAGGAAAAAUAUGCUUAAGUUAUAUGAUGAAAGUGGUAGGUUAGAAUGUAUCACCUGUCUUAAUACAGACUAAGAUGGCUUACGCAUUGUACUUUCUGGAUAUUUAAAAUGUUUUGGCUGUAUGGUCCAUGUGUUUUCAAAAUAAUACAUUUUAACUAAACUAAAAAAAAAAAGGAAUACCUACAGGUUUUUCUCAUUGUGUUUAUGUUAUCUAUUGCAGUGUACCGAAACACCCCAUACUUAAUGGCAUAAAAACUCUCAGGUCCUUAUCGCUUGUGUUUCUGGGGGUUGGCUGGGGAGGGGUCAUCUGGGGUAGCUCUUUUUUCCACCCCUAGGCUCACCUGCAGCCACAAUUUGCACUGCAGCAUCCCUGACAGCAGCCACAAGCCCGGCCCCUUGGCUGGGAUGGCAGGAAGGCCG